Molecule: ribosomal RNA, 1486 nt
Filed under: uncultured bacterium
Lineage: Bacteria
Description: bacterial SSU rRNA
Rfam family: Bacterial small subunit ribosomal RNA
Source: RNAcentral
AGAGUUUGAUCCUGGCUCAGGAUGAACGCUGGCGGCGUGCUUAACACAUGCAAGUCGAACGGUGAAAGCGGAGCUUGCUCUGCUGGAUCAGUGGCGAACGGGUGAGUAACACGUGAGCAAUCUGCCCCUGACUCUGGGAUAAGCGCUGGAAACGGCGUCUAAUACUGGAUACGAACUGCGAAGGCAUCUUCAGCAGUUGGAAAGAAUUUCGGUCAGGGAUGAGCUCGCGGCCUAUCAGCUUGUUGGUGAGGUAACGGCUCACCAAGGCGUCGACGGGUAGCCGGCCUGAGAGGGUGACCGGCCACACUGGGACUGAGACACGGCCCAGACUCCUACGGGAGGCAGCAGUGGGGAAUAUUGCACAAUGGGCGCAAGCCUGAUGCAGCAACGCCGCGUGAGGGACGACGGCCUUCGGGUUGUAAACCUCUUUUAGCAGGGAAGAAGCGAAAGUGACGGUACCUGCAGAAAAAGCGCCGGCUAACUACGUGCCAGCAGCCGCGGUAAUACGUAGGGCGCAAGCGUUAUCCGGAAUUAUUGGGCGUAAAGAGCUCGUAGGCGGUUUGUCGCGUCUGCUGUGAAAACCCGAGGCUCAACCUCGGGCCUGCAGUGGGUACGGGCAGACUAGAGUGCGGUAGGGGAGAUUGGAAUUCCUGGUGUAGCGGUGGAAUGCGCAGAUAUCAGGAGGAACACCGAUGGCGAAGCAGAUCUCUGGGCCGUAACUGACGCUGAGGAGCGAAAGGGUGGGGAGCAAACAGGCUUAGAUACCCUGGUAGUCCACCCGUAAACGUUGGGAACUAGUUGUGGGGUCCAUUCCACGGAUUCCGUGACGCAGCUAACGCAUUAAGUUCCCCGCCUGGGGAGCACGGCCGCAAGGCUAAAACUCAAAGGAAUUGACGGGGACCCGCACAAGCGGCGGAGCAUGCGGAUUAAUUCGAUGCAACGCGAAGAACCUUACCAAGGCUUGACAUAUACGAGAACGGGCCAGAAAUGGUCAACUCUUUGGACACUCGUAAACAGGUGGUGCAUGGUUGUCGUCAGCUCGUGUCGUGAGAUGUUGGGUUAAGUCCCGCAACGAGCGCAACCCUCGUUCUAUGUUGCCAGCACGUAAUGGUGGGAACUCAUGGGAUACUGCCGGGGUCAACUCGGAGGAAGGUGGGGAUGACGUCAAAUCAUCAUGCCCCUUAUGUCUUGGGCUUCACGCAUGCUACAAUGGCCGGUACAAAGGGCUGCAAUACCGUAAGGUGGAGCGAAUCCCAAAAAGCCGGUCCCAGUUCGGAUUGAGGUCUGCAACUCGACCUCAUGAAGUCGGAGUCGCUAGUAAUCGCAGAUCAGCAACGCUGCGGUGAAUACGUUCCCGGGUCUUGUACACACCGCCCGUCAAGUCAUGAAAGUCGGUAACACCUGAAGCCGGUGGCCUAACCCUUGUGGAGGGAGCCGUCGAAGGUGGGAUCGGUAAUUAGGACUAAGUCGUAACAAGGUAACCGUA